This is a long non-coding RNA of Equus caballus (horse), 1876 nucleotides long. Lineage: Eukaryota; Metazoa; Chordata; Mammalia; Perissodactyla; Equidae. The record is from Ensembl.
AGCUAACAUCUGCCAAUCCUCCUCUUUUUGCUGAGGAAGACUGGCCCUGAGCUAGCAUCUGUGCCCACCUUCCUCUACGUUAUACAUGGGAUGCCUACUACAGCAUGGCUUGACAAGCGGUGCCAUGUUUGCACCCGGGAUCCGAACCAGCGAACCCCAGGCCGCCAAAGCGGAAUGUGUACACUUAACUGCUGCGCCACCGGGCCGGCCCCUAUAUGUAUAUUUUUAAAAUGAAAAUGGAAUCAAGUCACAUUUUGUAGCCAGCUUUGUUCUGGAGAAUACACUGUGGACGUUUUCUCAUGCCAGCAAACUUUCUUCUGUGACAUGGUUUUUAAUGGUUACUUUGCAGCUUUUAGAUGCACCAUAAUUUCCUUAACUGAUUUUUUGUUAACAUUAGAUUGUUUUCAAUUAUUCUGCUAUAAUAAAAAUAUUACAAUGAAUUCCUGUAAUAUGGUUUUUUGCACAAAUUUCUGAUAAUUUUCUUUGAAUAAUUACCCCACCUUUCAUUUACUCCUGAUCGGUUUGGGCAGACUUUUAGACGAAUCAAUGAACAGGAAGAUGAGCUUCUUGGAAGUAAUGACAGCAAUGACCUACCCCCCACAUUCCAGAAGUGCCUCCACAACAGCUGGAUCUCUUGGCUAAUACUGACAGCUGAUCCUAAAAUACAGGAGAGCCAAGAGCCGAGAAUAGCCCAAACACUCCUGGAGAAGGACAAGCGGAAGCAAUGACUCUACUACCAGCAAGUUGCUGAAGCAAGCUGUACCUAUGGAGAGACCCACAGGGCAAGGAACUAAGGGCUCCAGCCAACAACUAGAGAGGAACUGAGGCCUUCAGUGCAACAGCCCAGGAGGAACUGACACUUGCCAACAAUCAAGUGCAUGAACUUGGAAGCGGAUUCUUCCCCAGAAGAUGACUGCACCUCCUGCUGACAUGCUGAUAGCAGCCGUGUGAAAGCCCAGAACCAGAGGUCCCAGCUAAGCCACAUCCGGAUUCCUGACCCACAGAAACUGUGAGAUAGUAAAUGUACGUUGUUUUAAGCUGUUUAAUCUGGGGGUAAUUUUUUAUGCUGCAGAUAACUAAUACAUCUAAGUGUAAUUCCUAGCGCAAAGCUUCCCAGCAGGAGAACCAAGACACACUGGUAUGCGGAAUAUGGAUUACCGACGAGCCCAGGAGAUUGGUCCUUCAACCCCUGGGGCUGCCAGGAGCAGCUGGGACAUCACAGUAGCGUGAUCACGCUCAGCUCACUGUUCGAGAGCAAGCAAUGACUCUGCUCUAGGAUGAGGCACACAUACUUUAUAGGAGUAAGCAGAGCGGUGAGUGUUGAUUUUUCUCCUGUCGAUUCCUCAGCCUCCCUUUCCCUGUUCCAUUCUGGCCCAGCCAUUGCCUUCAGCUCCCUGGACACUGGAGGGAUGAGCCUUUCUGACCAGGAUUCCAAAGGUAGGUCGUGGGCUCAGAGCCACACACCAGGAUGACCCAGCCACCGGUGCUGGCAAAGCCUCUCUUCCUCCUCCUCACCUCAUGAAAGUUUUGUGUUGCUCUGAAAUGGAUUUUCUUUGCCUCCAGCCCCCAUUAUGCUGUGCCUCUUACCCUCACUUUUAACCAGCUUAAUUCUUUCUUUUUUUUCCCCAAUCUUUAAACAAAGUCUGCUCCUUUCUAUUUUUCUCACACGCUUCAUCUUGGCAUCUCCCCAAUUCUUUCUCUUCCCUUCCACAGCAUCUCCGUAGGAAGGAGGAGUGUUGAAGAAAACCUCUAGUCAGUCCUGGCAUACCCCUAGCCCAGCAAAGAUCAUGCUAUGGUUGGGAGUGUGGAUUAUGGGUAUAUAUUGCUGUGUGAUGAAGAUUACAAAGUUAUUUUUUACCUGUCAGAAAAUACAUAG